Molecule: ribosomal RNA, 497 nt
Filed under: uncultured bacterium
Lineage: Bacteria
Description: partial 16S ribosomal RNA
Rfam family: Bacterial small subunit ribosomal RNA
Source: RNAcentral
GACGAACGCUGGCGGCGUGCCUAAUACAUGCAAGUUGAGCGAUGAAGAUUGGUGCUUGCCCCAAUUUGAAGAGCAGCGAACGGGUGAGUAACGCGUGGGGAAUCUGCCUUUGAGCGGGGGACAACAUUUGGAAACGAAUGCUAAUACCGCAUAACAACUUUAAACAUAAGUUUUAAGUUUGAAAGAUGCAAUUGCAUCACUCAAAGAUGAUCCCGCGUUGUAUUAGCUAGUUGGUGAGGUAAAGGCUCACCAAGGCGAUGAUACAUAGCCGACCUGAGAGGGUGAUUGGCCACAUUGGGAAUGAGACACGGCCCAAACUCCUACGGGAGGCAGCAGUAGGGAAUCUUCGGCAAUGGACGAAAGUCUGACCGAGCAACGCCGCGUGAGUGAAGAAGGGUUUCGGAUCGUAAAACUCUGUUGGUAGAGAAGAACGUUGGUGAGAGUGGAAAGCUCAUCAAGUGACGGUAACUACCCAGAAAGGGACGGCUAACUACGUG